AUAACUUUUCUUAUAGCUGUUGCUCUCCUCUCCCAGGUCAGAUCCAUUUCUGAGUGUAACUCUAUGUAUUUUCUGACGGCUGGGUUGUAGUGGUAGCGUUUUAACUCAAGAGUUUUGUUGAAGGGUUGAUUGAGGUCUUUCUGCGAGGAGGGUAGAGAGGAUCUAGCGUCUCCUAUCGGGACCUUGGAUCUGUGAACAGAGGACAGAGCAGGAUUCCUAUAGUGACACAUGGUCCAGAGUGACAGGGGCAUCUGCUGCAGCGCCAGCCCAGGGACAGGGAGAGGGAAGGAGGGGGUACAGGGGGUAGGGGGACACUGGGGCGCUGGACAUUCCUUUCACAGGGGUGUGGAGGGUGCAGAUAUUCUGGGAUACUGCUGCCAGCACUUCGCAGGGAGACGUUUUUUCUGUAGCGUUUUUUUUUCUAAAGCAGAAUUUCUUCGGGAGAACUGAAGUGUGAACUCUUAAAAAGUGUUACUGUUGGAUUGAGGAAGUAGUGAGGGACAUGUUUGGUUUUCCUUUCGUCUCUUCCUCAAAGUGAUUAGGUAUGAAGGUGCUACUUGGCUGGUUCUUUAAGGUGCUGGAUCUAGUUUCCUCCCAGUCCUCCUGACCCCGUCGCCUGCCGGAGCUGAGAGAGUUGGAUCAGAGAGAGAGAGAGAGAGAUAGAGACCUACUGGAUCAGAGAGAGAGAGGCCUAGUACCACAGAGAGGAACGUCAGAGAAUCGUAGCUCGUUAGAGGAUCCUCAGUCUCUACGACCAGAUCUUUCUUAAUGUAACUCACUGUACAUGGGCAAGGAUCUACUUUCUUAACAUAACCCACUGUACAUGGGCAAGGAUCUACUUUCUUAACAUAACCCACUGUACAUGGGCAAGGAUCUAAUUUCUUAACAUAACCCACUGUACAUGGGCAAGGAUCUACUUUCUUAACAUAACCCACUGUACAUGGGCAAGGAUCUACUUUCUUAACAUAACCCACUGUACAUGGGCAAGGAUCUACUUUCUUAACAUAACCCCACUGUACAUGGGCAAGGAUCUACUUUCUUAACAUAACCCCACUGUACAUGGGCAAGGAUCUACUUUCUUAACAUAACCCACUGUACAUGGGCAAGGAUCUACUUUCUUGGUCCUCCACUGAAAGCCAAACAACACCUAAACGGAUGAAUAUUUUUAUGAGGCACCUCCUUGUAGCAGAGAUGGGCCAGGACCAAACCAAGCAGCAGGUAGAGAAAGGCUUAAAGCUGUACCAGGCCAAUCAGACUGACAAAGCCCUGCAUGUCUGGAUCAAGGUGCUGGAGAAGACCUCAGACCCCGGCGGGAAGUUCAGAGUGCUGGGCUGUCUCAUCACCGCCCACUCUGAGAUGGGGAAGUAUAAAGAGAUGCUCAAGUAUGCCUUGGCCCAGAUAGACACAGCCAGGGAGAUGGAGGACCCAGACUACCUGACUGAGGGCUACCUGAACCUGGCUAGGAGCAACGAGAAGCUGUGUGACUUCCAGAAGACUGUGUCCUACUGUAAGACCUGCCUCAACAUGCAGGGAACCACUGUCAGUCUGCAACUUAACGGACAGGUGUGUCUGAGCAUGGGCAACGCGUUCCUGGGCGUCAGCGUGUUCCAGAAGGCUCUAGAGAGCUAUGAGAAGGCCCUGCGAUACGCCCACAACAAUGAUGACAAGAUGCUGGAGUCUAGAGUCUGCUGCAGCCUGGGGAACUUCUACAUCCAGCUCAAGGACUACGAGAAAGCCCUGUUCUUCCCGUGUAAAGCGGCUGAGCUGGUGAAUGACUACGGUAAAGGCUGGAGUCUGAAGUACAGGGCCAUGAGCCAGUACCACAUGUCUGUAGCCUACAGGAAGCUGGACCGUCUGCCUGAUGCCAUGGAGUGCUGUGAGGAGUCCAUGAAGAUAGCCCUGCAGCACGGGGACAGACCUCUCCAGGCGCUGUGCUUACUGAACUUCGCUGAUAUCCACCGCUGCCGGAAUGACGUAGAUAAAGCAUUGCCUCGUUACGAGUCCUCCAUGUGUAUAAUGACAGAGAUCGGGAACCGUCUUGGGCAGACCCAGGUGUACCUGGGGGUAGGGAAGUGCUGGCUCCAGCAGAAAGAGCUAGAUAAGGCUCUGGAUGCUCUGCAGCGAGCGCAGGAGUUGUCAGAGGCUUUAGGAACCAAGCUGUGUAGUCUAAAGGUGCACUGUCUCAGUGAGGGGAUCUACCGCAGUAAGGAGAGUCAGGAGGAGCUGAGGGAGCAGGUUGUGAAGUUCCUGCAGUGUGUGGAGGAGCUGGAGCUGUACUGUGGAAUGUGUGGCGAGUCCAUAGGAGAGAAGAACCAACAGCUGCAGGCUCUGCCCUGCUCUCACAUCUUCCACCUCCAGUAGGUGACCCAUCUACAUGUUAUAUAGUCUACAUAUUAUUACUACAUAUGGCUCUGUCCUGCUCUCACAUCUUCCACCUCCAGUAGGUGCUCUAACGAUGACCCAUCUACAUGUUAUAUAGUCUACAUAUUAUUACUACAUAUGGCUCUGCCCUGCUCUCACAUCUUCCACCUCCAGUAGGUGACCCAUCUACAUGUUAUAUAGUCUACAUAUUAUUACUACAUAUGGCUCUGUCCUGCUCUCACAUCUUCCACCUCCAGUAGGUGACCCAUCUACAUGUUAUAUAGUCUACAUAUUAUUACUACAUAUGGCUCUGUCCUGCUCUCACAUCUUCCACCUCCAGUAGGUGACCCAUCUACAUGUUAUAUAGUCUACAUAUUAUUACUACAUAUGGCUCUGUCCUGCUCUCACAUCUUCCACCUCCAGUAGGUGCUCUAACGAUGACCCAUCUACAUGUUAUAUAGUCUACAUAUUAUUACUACAUAUGGCUCUGUCCUGCUCUCACAUCUUCCACCUCCAGUAGGUGCUCUAACGAUGACCCAUCUACAUGUUAUAUAGUCUACAUAUUAUUACUACAUAUGGCUCUGUCCUGCUCUCACAUCUUCCACCUCCAGUAGGUGACCCAUCUACAUGUUAUAUAGUCUACAUAUUAUUACUACAUAUGGCUCUGCCCUGCUCUCACAUCUUCCACCUCCAGUAGGUGACCCAUCUACAUGUUAUAUAGUCUACAUAUUAUUACUACAUAUGGCUCUGUCCUGCUCUCACAUCUUCCACCUCCAGUAGGUGACCCAUCUACAUGUUAUAUAGUCUACAUAUUAUUACUACAUAUGGCUCUGUCCUGCUCUCACAUCUUCCACCUCCAGUAGGUGCUCUAACGAUGACCCAUCUACAUGUUAUAUAGUCUACAUAUUAUUACUACAUAUGGCUCUGUCCUGCUCUCACAUCUUCCACCUCCAGUAGGUGACCCAUCUACAUGUUAUAUAGUCUACAUAUUAUUACUACAUAUGGCUCUGUCCUGCUCUCACAUCUUCCACCUCCAGUAGGUGACCCAUCUACAUGUUAUAUAGUCUACAUAUUAUUACUACAUAUGGCUCUGUCCUGCUCUCACAUCUUCCACCUCCAGUAGGUGCUCUAACGAUGACCCAUCUACAUGUUAUAUAGUCUACAUAUUAUUACUACAUAUGGCUCUGCCCUGCUCUCACAUCUUCCACCUCCAGUAGGUGCUCUAACGAUGACCCAUCUACAUGUUAUAUAGUCUACAUAUUAUUACUACAUAUGGCUCUGCCCUGCUCUCACAUCUUCCACCUCCAGUGUCUACAGAACAACGGAUCCAAGGGCUGCCCCAAAUGUCGUCGGUCCUCCAUGAAGCCUGGGUUUGUGUGAGGUUACGAGGCACAGUGACUGGGACUUGAGGACACUAUGUGAUAACACUCUGUGAAGCCCCGACCUCAGUCACAUAGGAGAGCCAGACUGCACUUCUGGAUGGGCAGACUGCUGAACACAUAUCUGAAUGUCCUAACUAAACACAUAUCUGAAUGUCCUAACUAAACACAUAUCUGAAUGUCCUAACUAAACACAUAUCUGAAUGUCCUAACUAAUCUAAACACAUAUCUGAAUGUCCUAACUAAUCUAAACACAUAUCUGAAUGUCCUAACUAAACUAAACACAUAUCUGAAUGUCCUAACUAAACACAUAUCUGAAUGUCCUAACUAAACACAUAUCUGAAUGUCCUAACUAAACACAUAUCUGAAUGUCCUAACUAAACACAUAUCUGAAUGUCCUAACUAAACACAUAUCUGAAUGUCCUAACUAAACACAUAUCUGAAUGUCCUAACUAAUCUGAACACAUACCUGAAUGUCCUAACUAAACUGAACACAGACUCGGAUACCGUUUGUUGACUGGCUGUUGUGUUCAGAGGAUGUGCCACAGAAUCAGAACCAGCCCAUUACCUCGUCCCCGGGCUACUUGCUACCGAGCGAGAGCAGGCUGGUAGACAAGAGUAACAAUCCCAGUGUGAGGACAGACAGGACUGUACUUCAAGACACACAGUCACAGUUCAAAAGGUCACCACUCCUCCGGUUUUCUACAGUGAACAUGUCUCCUUAGCUGACAGAGAUAAGGAGGAUAAAGGGAUAGAUUUAUUACACUGUUGUACAUGAUUUACUGUUUGUUUGUUUUUUGUCAGAGGGUGAGGAGGAUGAAAUCCAAUAUACUUCUUCGUUUUGAGGACGUCUGUUUUAGAUAAAUCUGAUAGUUUAGCAUAAUGUUCACUUUACUUUGGUUAGGGUAUGCUGGAAGAUUCAUUGCAAGAAUGUAAUUGGAAAUUAUGUUAAACAUUAUUGUUUGGGUAAAAAAGUGAAAUCAUUAGGAUUUUGGCCACACGUUCUAUUAAUCACAUUUAACAAAAUUGUAUUUUAAAUAUACCCAUCGAAAGGCAAAGUGAGCUAUACGUUUUCUAUAGGUGAUUACUGUAAAGUGGUUAAUAUGCCAUAUGUCACGAACAUAUUUCUGUACAACCUUUUUAUCAUCAGUUCUCGGUGAACAUACUGCACAUUGUCCAAUAACAGUUGACAAUACAACACUUUAACUGAAUAAUUAAUAAUCACAAAGAUCAAAUGGACGGUCAGGAUAUACUUGUGUUCAUUUGACUUUAGCAUUUGAUAAAAAAAAUAUCAAAACUA
Non-coding RNA from Salmo salar (Atlantic salmon), 5040 nucleotides. The record is from RefSeq and is a predicted model, not a curated record. NCBI's taxonomy places the organism in Eukaryota, Metazoa, Chordata, Actinopteri, Salmoniformes, Salmonidae.